Molecule: transfer RNA, 76 nt
Filed under: Gammaproteobacteria bacterium
Lineage: Bacteria; Pseudomonadati; Pseudomonadota; Gammaproteobacteria
Description: tRNA-Val
Rfam family: tRNA
About the family: Transfer RNA (tRNA) molecules are approximately 80 nucleotides in length. Their secondary structure includes four short double-helical elements and three loops (D, anti-codon, and T loops).
Source: RNAcentral
GGGUGCUUAGCUCAGCUGGGAGAGCGUCGCCCUUACAAGGCGAAGGUCGUGGGUUCGAACCCCUCAGCGCCCACCA